GAUCCUGGCUCAGGAUGAACGCUAGCUACAGGCUUAACACAUGCAAGUCGAGGGGCAGCAUGGUCUAGCAAUAGACCGAUGGCGACCGGCGCACGGGUGAGUAACGCGUAUCCAACCUGCCUUACACUCUUGGACAGCCUUCUGAAAGGGAGAUUAAUACAAGAUGUUAUCAUGAGUAAGCAUUUUCGCAUGAUUAAAGGUUUACCGGUGUAAGAUGGGGAUGCGUUCCAUUAG
RNAcentral lists this ribosomal RNA (234 nucleotides) under uncultured bacterium. RNAcentral describes it as "partial 16S ribosomal RNA". It matches the Rfam family "Bacterial small subunit ribosomal RNA", at positions 15 to 244 of the family's 1533-position model. The record is from RNAcentral.